This 274-nucleotide ribosomal RNA is filed under the name uncultured bacterium. RNAcentral's name for it is "partial 16S ribosomal RNA". It matches the Rfam family "Bacterial small subunit ribosomal RNA", at positions 523 to 796 of the family's 1533-position model. The record is from RNAcentral.
AUACGGAGGGUCCGAGCGUUAUCCGGAAUCAUUGGGUUCAAAGGGUCCGUAGGCGGGAAUCUAAGUCAGUGGUGAAAUCUUGCAGCUCAACUGUAAAAUUGCCAUUGAUACUGGAUUUCUUGAAUUAGUGUGAAGUGGUUAGAAUGUGUAGUGUAGCGGUGAAAUGCAUAGAUAUUACACAGAAUACCAAUUGCGAAGGCAGAUCACUAACACUAUAUUGACGCUAAGGGACGAAAGCGUGGGGAGCGAACAGGAUUAGAAACCCUGGUAGUCC